RNAcentral lists this ribosomal RNA (406 nucleotides) under uncultured bacterium. RNAcentral describes it as "bacterial SSU rRNA". It matches the Rfam family "Bacterial small subunit ribosomal RNA", at positions 954 to 1354 of the family's 1533-position model. The record is from RNAcentral.
GCAGAACGCGAAGAACCUUACCUGGCCUUGACAUCCACGGAACUUUCCAGAGAUGGAUUGGUGCCUUCGGGAACCGUGAGACAGGUGCUGCAUGGCUGUCGUCAGCUCGUGUCGUGAGAUGUUGGGUUAAGUCCCGCAACGAGCGCGAACCCUUGUCCUUAGUUGCCAGCACGUAAAGGUGGGAACUCUAAGGAGACCGCCGGCGACAAGCCGGAGGAAGGUGGGGAUGGACGUCAAGUCAGUCAUGGCCCUUACGGCCAGGGCUACACACGUACUACAAUGGUGGGGACAGAGGGCUGCAAGCCGGCGACGGUGAGCCAAUCCCAGAAAGCCGAUCGUAGUCCGGAUUGUAGUCUGCAACUCGACGUACAUGAAGUCGGAAUCGCUAGUAAUCGCGGAUCAGGCA